RNAcentral lists this ribosomal RNA (272 nucleotides) under Klebsiella pneumoniae subsp. pneumoniae KPNIH2. RNAcentral's name for it is "partial 16S ribosomal RNA". It matches the Rfam family "Bacterial small subunit ribosomal RNA", at positions 1 to 266 of the family's 1533-position model. The record is from RNAcentral. Lineage: Bacteria; Pseudomonadati; Pseudomonadota; Gammaproteobacteria; Enterobacterales; Enterobacteriaceae.
ACUUAAAUUGAAGAGUUUGAUCAUGGCUCAGAUUGAACGCUGGCGGCAGGCCUAACACAUGCAAGUCGAGCGGUAGCACAGAGAGCUUGCUCUCGGGUGACGAGCGGCGGACGGGUGAGUAAUGUCUGGGAAACUGCCUGAUGGAGGGGGAUAACUACUGGAAACGGUAGCUAAUACCGCAUAAUGUCGCAAGACCAAAGUGGGGGACCUUCGGGCCUCAUGCCAUCAGAUGUGCCCAGAUGGGAUUAGCUAGGUAGGUGGGGUAACGGCUC